UGGGCGCGUAACUCAGUUGGUAGAGUGUUCGCUUUGCAUGCGAAAAGUCCAGCGUUCGAAUCGCUGCCCGUCCAC
This 75-nucleotide transfer RNA is filed under the name Penicillium nalgiovense. RNAcentral describes it as "tRNA-Ala". It matches the Rfam family "tRNA". Rfam says of the family: Transfer RNA (tRNA) molecules are approximately 80 nucleotides in length. Their secondary structure includes four short double-helical elements and three loops (D, anti-codon, and T loops). The record is from RNAcentral. Lineage: Eukaryota; Fungi; Ascomycota; Eurotiomycetes; Eurotiales; Aspergillaceae.